Molecule: ribosomal RNA, 380 nt
Filed under: uncultured cyanobacterium
Lineage: Bacteria; Bacillati; Cyanobacteriota
Description: bacterial SSU rRNA
Rfam family: Bacterial small subunit ribosomal RNA
Source: RNAcentral
CGCAAGCCUGACGGAGCAAGACCGCGUGGGGGAGGAAAGCCUUUGGGUUGUAAACCCCUUUUCUCAGGGAAGAAGAAAGUGACGGUACCUGAGGAAUCAGCCUCGGCUAACUCCGUGCCAGCAGCCGCGGUAAUACGGAGGAGGCAAGCGUUAUCCGGAAUGAUUGGGCGUAAAGCGUUCGUAGGUGGCAAUUCAAGUCUGCUUUCAAAGAGUGGAGCUCAACUCCAUAGAGGGAGUGGAAACUGAGUAGCUAGAGUAAGGAAGGGGUAAGAGGAAUUCCCAGUGUAGCGGUGAAAUGCGUAGAUAUUGGGAAGAACACCAGCAGCGAAGGCGUCUUACUGGUCCUUAACUGACACUGAUGGACGAAAGCUAGGGGAGCG